RNAcentral lists this non-coding RNA (45 nucleotides) under Schistosoma mansoni. The record is from RNAcentral. Lineage: Eukaryota; Metazoa; Platyhelminthes; Trematoda; Strigeidida; Schistosomatidae.
ACCCAGCUGGCGAGUCCCAAAGAGAACGAAACGCGCGUCCUGGAU